Molecule: ribosomal RNA, 497 nt
Filed under: uncultured bacterium
Lineage: Bacteria
Description: partial 16S ribosomal RNA
Rfam family: Bacterial small subunit ribosomal RNA
Source: RNAcentral
GAUGAACGCUGGCGGCGUGCCUAAUACAUGCAAGUAGAACGCUGAAGCUUGGUGCUUGCACCGAGCGGAUGAGUUGCGCACGGGUGAGUAACGCGUAGGUAACCUGCCUCUUAGCGGGGGAUAACUAUUGGAAACGAUAGCUAAUACCGAAUAACAGUCGAUAUCGCAUGAUAUUGAUUUGAAAGGUGCAAAUGCAUCACUAAGAGAUGGACCUGCGUUGUAUUAGCUAGUUGGUGAGGUAAAGGCUCACCAAAGCGACGGUACAUAGCCGACCUGAAGGGGUGAUCGGCCCCCCUGGGAAUGGGACACGGCCCAGAAUCCUACGGGAGGCAGCAGUAGGGAAUCUUCGGCAAUGGGGGCAACCCUGACCGAGCAACGCCGCGGGAGUGAAGAAGGUUUUCGGAUCGUAAAGCUCUGUUGUAAGAGAAGAAAGAGUGUGGGAGUGGAAAGUUCACACUGUGACGGUAACUUACGAGAAAGGGACGGCUAACUACGUG